GCCGGAUCUUGUACUAUGCCGACAACAGGCUAAUAUAUAAACACUGAGCCACUCAUGCGCUUCAUCAGUUAUAGUCAUCUGUUCAUUGGAUUUACUAGUCGUUCCUUAUUGCUCAAUAUGAAGCUGUUUUUCCUUAUCUUCAGUCUGAUAGCGCUCGUCUUUGGAGUCGCCCAAGGACAAAGAGGCUGCAUCUGCCCGGCUGUCUUCAGUCCAGUUUGCUCAACUACAGGAAAAACCUUCAGUAACAGAUGCCAGUUAAACUGCGCAGGUGCUAAAUUCAGGCGCAAUGGAAAAUGUUAAAAAUAAUAAUUGUAUAGAUUUAUAAGAAUCGUAAUUAAUAAAUGCAUUAGGUUAUAACUAGGGGGACAGUUAAGGGAUCUCCUCAUUGAUUAUGAUUUUUUGGAUAUUCAUAUUACAUGUGGCUAAAAGGGGAGUGAAAUUUUGUAUGUGAGUUAAGGUAGUAAUUUCAAAAUUGGAAUUGUAGGACAUAUGUACUAAUCAUAAGAAAAUAACCUUUCAGCUAAUUGCUUAUUAAUAUUUACCCAUACUCAGUAGAUAUGGUAACAAUUUCAAUAAAAAAAAAAUAUUUUUAAAA
Molecule: long non-coding RNA, 595 nt
Organism: Bicyclus anynana (squinting bush brown)
Lineage: Eukaryota; Metazoa; Arthropoda; Insecta; Lepidoptera; Nymphalidae
Exons: 3
Source: RefSeq, a predicted model, not a curated record